GAGCCGGGCCCUGGUCCUGCAGCGGUCAGCUCCCGCAGCCCGCGGGUACCUGGUGCUGUGAGCUCACCCGCUUCCAAACCCCCUUCUGCCAUGUGCAGUCUUGCACUUCUCGAGGAAGUGUUUUGCCCUACGCAAAAACAAAAAGCCUCCAUCAGCCCCGGUGGUGUCUUACGGGCAGUAGGGCUUUCAGGUACUGGUGUUCUGCGUGCUGCUUGCGUUUUGGAAAUCCUUUCGUUGCAAGGGUGACAAGGCUGUGACUUCUGCCAUCCCUGAAGUUUGUCGACACCUGGUGAUUUAGGUAACUGAAACGAGCCCCGCAAAAGCUCUUUAAACAACACUGUUACCAAUAAUCUUAAAGAAUUGCAAAGCAAUGGCAGAUGAAAUAGAAUUGAACAGAACAUGACUAGUCAAGCACUACAAAACCGACGCUGGAGUCAGUCCCUUACAGGGCACCCAUGCAACCACCUUCCUCCCAGGACAUGGGCUGCCCUGCCCUGUAACAUCUUCCAACGUGCUCCUGGCUCUGGGGAUUUGUUCAAGCCUAUUGCAGAUUUGUAAAUUUAAAUUAGGAUUUUGGAACUUGCUACUUCACAUUCUCAAAUCCCAGGUCAAACCUGUUUUUUAAUCUGAGCUGGACAGAGCUGAGUAUGUGCAAUGUGCUGGGAUUGCCUGGCAUGAUGGACCCUGCUGCCUCAUCAAGGAGGGGCGAAAGUAAGCACUGGGAGCCACGCAUGGUCCUCGACUGUCAGCUUCCAAAGGACGUGAUGAUGUAAUCGUGCACUAAAAGGUUUCAACUAUUUGAAAAACAAACAGUAAUGAUCACAAAUCUUUUGAUACAUCUCAAGGCAAUCCUAUCAGUGUGGAGCAGCAGCUGAGAGAAGCAGCUACAGCACCGCGCGUCCCGUUCGUGUUCCCCGGCUGUGUGGCAGCUGCGCCCCAGCGCUCCGCAGCCUGCCUGCGCCAUGCAGGACCGUGACCAGCGGGCAGCUCGCAGCACCCAAUGCCACGGGGAGCUGCAGGACACAGUUGCCGAAGACCUUUCAACAUCAGGCCUGGAGCCUUCGAACUCUGCCGGGGUGUGAGGCCAGCAGCUGAACCGCAUGCCUCAGGGAGGCAAACCCGGUGGUCCAGAGGCCUGGGGCCCUGCCUGUGGCCUCCUGCUGCCACAAGGCCCUGCCCCGGCCCCUGCGGUGCCACCUCCAUGGCCGCUGUGCUGCAUGGUGCCACUGCCUGGCUGCUGCAGCCACUUCCCUGCGCGGCGACGUCUGCACCUUGCAGGCCCUUCCGCUCACCUGAAAUGCUGCCAUCAAGGUACACUUUGUUCUUGCCCUGCUUUGUGUGUUCCCUGCCUGAUGCUGAGAACGAAAGCCGACGGUGCACGGAGGAUGGAUUUGGCUCUCCCAUGCCUAGUCUGCGCGCCCACCAAACGCCUGCUCUCCGGGGAGCCCGUCUGGCUGACAGGCCACAUGUAGUGCGCCCAGCCCACAGCCGCCCUGCCUCACCAUCCCGAGGGCACCGCUGCCCCAAAGAUCCUCCCUUGGUACCUCUCUGAGGUGAGAUGGAGGCCUCUAGCUGUCACCUGUGUCCAUCCUCUUUUCUGACACCUCCAGCCAUACCAGUCAAGUUAAAAUCAUGACAAAUUAAACAGGAUUGGGUCUUGCUCUUUCUUGAGCAGGCUGAUCUCUAAAGGAGACAUCUAAUCAAGACUCAUCAGUGAUUCAAGAGGUGAAACAUUUCCUCCUGUAACUACUAAACAGAAUCUGGGAUCCCUUCUUCCAGCUGAAGGAUACCGGAGUGCUGAUAUUUAGAAAUCCAGCAACCUGGCUUGGUAAUCCUGGUCAAGUGCUAAUUUGAGCAGCAUUUUUUCUAUCGUCCUCUUAUCUUCUUGCACCCUCCACAAUCUCUCACCAUCCUUUACGUUUCUCUCCCAUAAAGGCUCUGUCAUAAGAGCAGAUUAAACCUGUACACACACAGUUAUGAAUAAAUGUCUGUGAGAACA
This is a long non-coding RNA of Cygnus atratus (black swan), 1999 nucleotides long. RefSeq lists it as uncharacterized. The record is from RefSeq and is a predicted model, not a curated record. NCBI's taxonomy places the organism in Eukaryota, Metazoa, Chordata, Aves, Anseriformes, Anatidae. The transcript is spliced from 3 exons.